This is a long non-coding RNA of Sardina pilchardus (European sardine), 1378 nucleotides long. RefSeq lists it as uncharacterized. Lineage: Eukaryota; Metazoa; Chordata; Actinopteri; Clupeiformes; Clupeidae. The transcript is spliced from 5 exons. The record is from RefSeq and is a predicted model, not a curated record.
CUGUAAUGUUUACCAAAACCGGUUGUGUUAGAAGUGGCUGGCUAGCCAUUAGCUAGCGAGCUAAGAAUCGCUAACAUUUGCAGAGUUAGCUUUUUCAAUAGCUAACUUCACGAUUAUGUGCAAUAUCUGGAAUGGUAGUUAAUAUCAUAUCCAACAAUACGUCUGUGUAAGAUGUCGUUGUGAAUGUAGUUUAAGUUUGAAUGAAAUAUCAGGCGCAAGUAACAUUUACGUUAGCUAUCUUUAAAGUGGCUGAUUGUAGCCAUGCAGGCUAACAUUAAGUUAACAUUGCAGACACAGAUGAGAGUUGUUAACGUUACUUUCCUAACUAACGUGACUUAAGAAUUGUCAUGGGACAUAGGCUUAGGUAGAUAACUUAAUUUAAAUUUGAUAUACAGUAGUGCCGAUACAAAGGACCAGUAAAACUAAUGAAUGUAGUAAUUUAUCUCCCACCUUAACCUUAACUAAACUGCAGUUUAGUAUGGCCAUUGUCAUUAACAGACGUGUCAAGGAUGUGAAUGGGGGUAUGAUGCACUUUAGGUUGUGAAGGGUAGUGUUUGGCUUCAUGUUCUUCAUUUCAUAGCCCUUAUUUACCCCUUGUUUGAUAUAGUACCUAAUCUGCGCCUAACUAUGUGUUUAUUUAAAAUGCAUAUGAGUGUAGUAGUGCUUCAGUGAUGAUCUUUUUAUCUUCUGUGUGUUUUGCAACUUAUUAAUCUUAGUCUCCCUCUGUUCCCUCUGUUUACAGACAUUGCAUUGUGAGGACUGUUGCCCUGGGAACACUGAGCGCAUUCUCGAAAAUUCCAAAUUUGUGCCACUUCCAUACGAAGACAGCCCAGAAUAAUUGGGCUCCAUCAACCAUCCCGGGUAAAGUCGGUCUGUCCUGAUUGCACUACUUGCUAAUUGAUGACGUCUAGAAGCCAUAGCUGCUUCCCUGGCAGCCCUCACAAAUAAACUGAUACCAGGAAUUAACAUACAGUAGAUGGUGAUGGUGGUGGUGACAAGGGUGCCUUCACAAGGUGCCAUGUCACAAUCUCAGUGUGGAGCCAAAGGCUGCUAUUGCAAGUCAGAUGGGGGACGAUCGAUGUAAGGCAUCAGAAAGGUGGUAUACUUGAUUUACUGCCGAAGGUACCAUCAGAGCACCACCCUACCCCUGCAGGACCAGAAGAGGACGGACAGGGGGCCAACAUUUUUUAACACUCUGACCAUGGACUAUUUAAACCAUUGAGGUAACGCAGACGUCUGAUCCCACUUGGCUAAAACAGAAGACUGAGGAGGAGUUUCUUUCCUCAUGCCAUUCGCAUCCUGAGCACACAUACUACAUUACAUGGACUUGCCAUACUGCACUUACACACUGCACUAUUUACCCCCUGACUCAUUCCGU